AGAGUUUGAUCCUGGCUCAGAACGAACGCUGGCGGCGUGCUUAACACAUGCAAGUCCAACGUGAAAGGGGAGCAAUCCCCCGGUAGGGUGGCGAACGGGUGAGUAAUACAUGGGAAUCUGUCCUGGAGAUGGGGAUAUCCUUCCGAAAGGAGGGUUAAUACCGAAUAUUGUCCGGGACCGUGAAGGGUUCCGGGGAAAGGGAGGCCUCUGAUACAAGCUUUCGCCUUAAGAUGAGCCCAUGGCCCAUCAGCUAGUUGGUAGGGUAAAGGCCUACCAAGGCUACGACGGGUCGCUGGUCUGAGAGGACGACCAGCCACACUGGCACUGAGAUACGGGCCAGACUCCUACGGGAGGCGAC
RNAcentral lists this ribosomal RNA (358 nucleotides) under uncultured prokaryote. RNAcentral's name for it is "bacterial SSU rRNA". It matches the Rfam family "Bacterial small subunit ribosomal RNA", at positions 8 to 352 of the family's 1533-position model. The record is from RNAcentral.